Molecule: long non-coding RNA, 621 nt
Filed under: Micromonas commoda
Lineage: Eukaryota; Viridiplantae; Chlorophyta; Mamiellophyceae; Mamiellales; Mamiellaceae
Description: long non-coding RNA (MCOM_LNC000122)
Source: RNAcentral
CGCGUCGGGAGGGAGUCAGCCGCAAACCCGCAACCCCCGCGCGUUAUAGAACGGCCGGUCAUGAGCUCCCCCUCGGCCUCCUCCAAGCUCACGGGCAACAGGUGAGGUUCAACGCCUUCAACCCCGCGCCCCGUCGGUCACCCCUCUGAAAAAAUGCCAAAAAACCAAGAGAAAACCCGAGGAUGGGUUUGCCGAACCGCGUCGCUGUUUGAACUGCCGGGACCCUCCGUCGUCUCGCUGCGAAACCUUCGACCCGCUCACCCAUCUCGCCGCCCUUACACUCUUCGCAGGAUAUACAGUUGCUCUUUCUGCCGUAACCACAACGCCUAUCACGACGACAUCAUCUCCAAGGCACGCCCCCGCAACCCAACACUGAUUUUCCCGACACCUCCUCCUCCUCCCGCGACUUUCUUUUCCGUUGUCUCGACCGGCCGCUGACCACGUCCCCUCGACUCCCCACCUCUCAGGCGUUCCAGGGUCGCCACGGCCGCGCGUAUCUAUUCAACGACGUCGCUAACAUCACCCUCGGCGGCAAGGAGGACCGCCUCCUCAUGACCGGGCUUCACACCGUCCGGGACGUCUUCUGCGCGUCCUGCAGCUCGCUGCUGGGAUGGAAGUACG